RNAcentral lists this ribosomal RNA (1062 nucleotides) under Triticum aestivum (bread wheat). RNAcentral describes it as "partial small subunit ribosomal RNA". The record is from RNAcentral. Lineage: Eukaryota; Viridiplantae; Streptophyta; Magnoliopsida; Poales; Poaceae.
AUGAAGACUUGUAAGACGGCAUCUAUGUGCACCCCAGCGGAGGAGUCUCAAGGCAUACAUGUGUUUGAUAUCUUGGGUUACAGCAAGCACAAGGGCAUGGGCCACCAUGUGGACAGCCACAUACGCUCAGGGGUUUUCUCUGUCGGCGGCCAUGACUGGGUAAUCUUCUUCUUCCCUGACGGUUAUACUGAAUAUGACCUGGAUUACAUCUCAGCUUUUCUCGUGCUUUGGAGCAACAACACUAAAGUCCGGGCAUCCUGCGAUAUGAGGCUGGUUGAUCAGUACACCGGAUUCUCAUCUUCGGUGCAUAAAACAGGACCUAGAAUUUUCAAUUCUGGUGAUAUUAGCAAGUUUGCUCCACAGACUACUUGUUUCAUAACGCACAAUGAGAUCGAGGGAUCCGCGUAUCUUAGGGAUGAUCGCCUGACGAUCGAAUGCGUCGUCACUGUUUUCCACAAACCACAUGUUACCGAAACAAAAUCAUUCCCUAAAAUCGGCAUGCCACCAGCUGACAUGACCGAGGAUGUUGCCAAGCUGUUGGAAGAGAAGAAGGGAUUCGAUGUCAGUUUUAUUGUCGCGGGAGAGACCAUUGAAGCCCAUAGGUUUGUUCUCGCUAUGCGGUCACCAGUUUUCAAAGCAGAGCUCUAUGGGUCGAUGCAGGAGGCGAAGUCGGGGCAAUGCAUAACCAUCAAGGACAUGCAAGCUGCUGUUUUCAAGGCCCUGCUCCAUUUCAUCUAUACGGACUCUUUGCCUAGCCGUGAGGAUACUGAGAUGGUUCGGCUUCUACUAGUGGCUGCAGACAGAUAUGCAAUGGAUAGGCUCAAGCUGGUUUGCCAAAGCAUACUUUGUGAGGAUCUGAACAAGGACACUGUGGCAAUCACAUUAGCUUUAGCUGACCAACAUAACUGUCACCAGCUUAAGGACGCUUGUCUUGAAUUUAUCGAAUUAUCAAAUUUCACGGAUGCUUUGGUGGCUACACAACGGUUAAAAGAUAUCAAGAAGACUUGCCCAUCUUUCAUAGUGGAGGAAUUGGAGAAGAGAAAAAAGCUUCCUAAAGCAUGA